CGUCACAUCGAAUCUUGCAGCACUAGAGCAUUAAAUAUAGACGAAAAUAAAAACUAAUUAUACAAUUUGUAUGUAAAACGCUAGAUGAUUUUUUGAAUCUAGUUAGUCCAUGAUUGAAUAAUAAUUAUCAAAUAAAAAUAAAAAUGCUACAAUAUCGAAAACUAAAAAAAUUUCAAAACUAUUCAAGGCCUAAACAGCAGUGUCCCUAUCACCCCG
RNAcentral lists this long non-coding RNA (216 nucleotides) under Sorghum bicolor (sorghum). RNAcentral describes it as "long non-coding RNA (SBIC_LNC000123)". Lineage: Eukaryota; Viridiplantae; Streptophyta; Magnoliopsida; Poales; Poaceae. The record is from RNAcentral.